GAUGAACGCUGGCGGCGUGCCUAAUACAUGCAAGUCGAGCGAACGGACGAGAAGCUUGCUUCUCUGAUGUUAGCGGCGGACGGGUGAGUAACACGUGGAUAACCUACCUAUAAGACUGGGAUAACUUCGGGAAACCGGAGCUAAUACCGGAUAAUAUUUUGAACCGCAUGGUUCAAAAGUGAAAGACGGUCUUGCUGUCACUUAUAGAUGGAUCCGCGCUGCAUUAGCUAGUUGGUAAGGUAACGGCUUACCAAGGCAACGAUGCAUAACCGACCUGAGAGGGUGAUCGGCCACCCUGGAACUGAGCCACGGUCCAGACGCCUACGGGAGGCAGCAGUAGGGAAUCUUACGCAAUGGGCGAAAGCCUGGCGGAGCAACGCCGCGUGAGUGAUGAAGGUCUUCGGAUCGUAAAACUCUGUUAUUAGGGAAGAACAUAUGUGUAAGUAACUGUGCACAUCUUGACGGUACCUAAUCAGAAAGCCACGGCUAACUACGUG
RNAcentral lists this ribosomal RNA (497 nucleotides) under uncultured bacterium. RNAcentral describes it as "partial 16S ribosomal RNA". It matches the Rfam family "Bacterial small subunit ribosomal RNA", at positions 28 to 507 of the family's 1533-position model. The record is from RNAcentral.